AGGGAGUUAGCUUCUAAUUAAUCAAUUUCUCACCUAAAAUUUCUGGUCCUGAUAUACAUAGACUUUGAUAAUUAAUAUAUAAACUUACCAAUAUUAGUGCAUCCAAGGCUGUUUUUGCAACAUUGCUACAAUUAAGUAAUAAGGUCACCCAAAUAGCAUGAAGCAUGACUAUUGAAAUUUGACUUUCACAAGAAAAUUUGGCCACUGACUCUAACUUUCAUCACAAAUUUGUAGGUAUUUUUCAUUCAUGAACAUCAAUAAGCCCA
This 266-nucleotide long non-coding RNA is filed under the name Elaeis guineensis (African oil palm). RNAcentral's name for it is "long non-coding RNA (EGUI_LNC018210)". The record is from RNAcentral. Lineage: Eukaryota; Viridiplantae; Streptophyta; Magnoliopsida; Arecales; Arecaceae.